AGAGAGAGGAGAGAGAGAAAGAGGAGAGAAUUUUUUUUUUCUUCUGUUUCCAUAAAAGUUGUUUAUUCAUUUAACAUUCUGUCAAUUUUUUUAGUUAACUUUACAACAAAAUUAAUAAAAUAAAACUAAAUAAUUAAAUGAUAAUAAUUUAGCAGUAGUUUUACUACAAUUUACGUGAAAAACAUAUUUGACAUAUGUCAUCAUAUGUCAUAGACUUGUCGUCAUUUCUUUUUUCAUUGGCUUAUUAUACAGUACAUAAAUUAAUAAUAUUUAUUGAAGAAAAAUAACAGUUGUUAUUAAUAUUUAUAUUGCUGUCAUAAUCAAAGACACAAUUACACUUGACUGAUAAAGUUUAUAAGAAAAUUAAAAAUUAAUCGAAACGAUGGAGGAUAUGCAAGAUGAGACCCAAUUUGUUGUUGAUGAUGUUAGUAAAAUAAUAAAAGAAGCAAUUGAAAUGUCAAUUGGUGGUGAUGCCUAUCAACAUACCAAAGUUAGUCAAUGGAUUUCAAAUGUUGUUGAAACUUGUUUAGCUAAUUUAACUAAACUUCAAAAACCAUACAAAUAUAUUGUUACAUGUACAAUUAUGCAAAAAAAUGGUGCUGGUUUACAUACAGCAAGUUCAUGUUUUUGGGAUAAUACAACUGAUGGAAGUUGUACUGUUCGUUGGGAAAAUAAAACAAUGUAUUGUAUAGUAUCUGUUUUUGGUCUGGCAACAUAAAAUAUAUUCAGGCUAAUAUAUCUAGUCGGCUAAAGUUAUUAAUUAAUAAUUGAUUUUCUAUUUUUUAUUCACAAAAAUACGUAAUUUUCUUUUUUUUCAUUAACAAUAUUAAUUUUUUUUUUGUUUUCUUUUAUUUCCUUUCAAUAAUCAAAAUAUGCUAAUAAUAUGUUUAAUUUUAUUUCUUAGUUAUCACAUAAUAUCAUAUAAUAAUUUUGAUAAUGAAAAAUAAUAAAUUUGUCAUAUGAGACACUAAAAUUUUGACAUUAUUUUUUAUUUAUUUAAUUUUUUUUUCUGAAAAGUUAAAAAUUUCUGAUUUUUUAAUUAUUAAAAAAAGUGUUAUUUAUUAUUUUUAAAAUUAAUAAUUUUCAACUAAUUAAUCUAUUGAAUCGAUCCCUCGAAAAUUAAAUAAUCGAUAUAUCGAGGGCGUCAGUCAGAGAGAGAGAGCGAAAAAAAAAAUAAGACUGGCUACAGUGAGCUACAGCAGGCCACAAGAAGACUAGAGAGUAGAGACCAAUAAAUUAGGUCUCUAGCAGUCUCUAGUCUUCUUGAUUGGCCAAAAUUACUUGCGCGCAGAUAUAAUUAAGAUAAAAACAAAUAUAAAAAAACUAAAACGUGGUUAUUACUUAUUAUUGGUAGUGGAUAUCAAAUUUUAAUUUUAUCAAAUAUGAAUCAGCUCAAACGAUUGCGUAAAUCAGGGUCGAAAAAAAGCUUGGUAAAAAAAUAUAACGUUCCAAGUCAAAUUAUAACACGUUCCUUGAGCAAAAAAAAUAAUAAGAUAUACACUCACCAUGAUGAUGAUAAUAAUUUAAACGCCAAAGAUAUAACGAUAAUUGAGCGUGUUAAUGAUGAUUGCCUGACUGAAAUAUUCAUGCAUGUACCAGCAUGUGAAAGACCAAAAAUUGCAUUGGUAUGCAAAAAAUGGAAAAGAGUCCUUGAUUAUUCUUGGUUUAAUGUCAAAAAACUUGAACUAACACAUUGGGAAUAUGACGAGAAUCCACAUUUUUUAGAGAGAAAUUAUCCAAGAAUCAAUGGACAAUUCAAGUUUUUGAAAUCACUGCUUUAUAAAUGUGGUCGUUAUUUAAGAGAAUUAGACUUGUCAGUCUAUACUCGUUGUAACAUAUUGCCAGUUAUUAAUGAAUAUUGUCCAAAUCUCAUAAAACUUCGAAUAAGAAUCGGUGAUAUUGAUGAUGCAAUAUUGGAUAAUGCAUUUUCACAUCUUUCUAAACUGAAAGUAUUGAAAAUCAUAUUUCAUGGUUGUUUUGAUGAUGAACAUCGUAAAGUCCCUACAACUUUAAUUAAUUCAUUGUUAAACGUUGCUGAUACAUUGACGGAUCUCAAUAUUGCAAAUUGGGCUGCAGCCUUAUGUAAAAAAGCUUUUUUUCCAGCAGAAAUGACUAGUGUGGUUAUUCAACUGAAGGCCUUAAGAAAAUUUGGAGCUGAUUGUAUAGUAUCUCCACGAAGUAUGCGCGAAUAUUUGAACAAUUCGGAAACAAUAAGAAGCACUAGUGACCACAAUUGUUACAAUAAAAUUAAAAUGAGUACUACGGAGCUCUUUGAACGUGUUGAAGAAUUAGAUAUUCUUACUUGGGGAAUUUCCGAUGAUUGUAUAUAUAACAUUGCUAAUGUUAUGAAACGAUUACACACACUACGUGUAUCAUGUCCAUGGCUAACCGAUGCUGGUAUCGCUGCAUGUUCAAAGAUAAAUAAUUUAAAAAAUCUCUAUUUAGACGGCUUUAAUGAUGCUACUGACUCCUCAAUUAAAUUGCUCAAAAAUUUGACACAUUUAAAGUUACCAUAUAGCAAUAAAAUUACUGAUGAAUCGGCCAUUAAAGUUCUUGAAAAUUCACCAGACAUGAUUGAAUAUUGCGUCAAAAACACAGGUAUAACUUUCAAUUUUAUUGAAAAAGCAGCAGAAAUAUCAGAAAGUCGUGACAGAGAAUUAACUGUAUUUGUUUCACUUGAUUCUGAUUUAUUUAGCACACGAACCGAAUACGAUUGUUUAUCAAUUUUUUAUGUUAAAA
Molecule: unclassified non-coding RNA, 2739 nt
Filed under: Aphidius gifuensis
Lineage: Eukaryota; Metazoa; Arthropoda; Insecta; Hymenoptera; Braconidae
Description: dynein light chain Tctex-type 1, transcript variant X1
Source: RNAcentral